GGGGUUGUGGCUCAGUGGCAGAGUGCUUGCUUUGCCCGCAUGAGGCACUGGGUUCAAUCCUCAGCACCA
Molecule: transfer RNA, 69 nt
Filed under: Ictidomys tridecemlineatus (thirteen-lined ground squirrel)
Lineage: Eukaryota; Metazoa; Chordata; Mammalia; Rodentia; Sciuridae
Description: Spermophilus tridecemlineatus (thirteen-lined ground squirrel) tRNA
Rfam family: tRNA
About the family: Transfer RNA (tRNA) molecules are approximately 80 nucleotides in length. Their secondary structure includes four short double-helical elements and three loops (D, anti-codon, and T loops).
Source: Rfam by way of RNAcentral